Long non-coding RNA from Culex pipiens pallens (northern house mosquito), 925 nucleotides. RefSeq lists it as uncharacterized. Lineage: Eukaryota; Metazoa; Arthropoda; Insecta; Diptera; Culicidae. The transcript has 2 exons. The record is from RefSeq and is a predicted model, not a curated record.
UUGGGUCCUAAAAUGAAGCUUAGAUUGCUGAUAUUAUUAUUUACAGCGAUAAAGCUUAUUUUUCUGAGUACAAUGACCCUUUGUACGACCACAAAGAGUUUAAAAUGGAUUUUUAAAUCAUUUUUGAAAAAUUAACCUUGCGGUCCUUCUUGACAGAAAAGCUCCUACUUGACAGCUCGUUCCAAGGGGACCAUAGUUGAUCCAUCGAAAAAAUGUUGUCUUGUCAAAAAAAAAUUGCAUUAAAAUGGAAAAAAGUGAUCAGAAAUGGUUUUUAAUCGUGUUUUUUACCGUUGUACAUAAUAAUUGACAUAGGGCUUUAGUACCCAAUUUAGGCAAACUGUCAAAAAGUGCGAGUUUGUUUGUUUGUUUGUCGUAGUAUAAUAGCUCCUUCACUGUAAGUUUGGGGAUUAUUUUUUUCUCCGUUACGUAAUAAAUGAAAGCUCCCUUAUGUUUAAUCGUGUUAAAUAUUUUUACCCAUGCAUUUCAUGAUUUUUGUUCUUGUCAACGUUUGGCUUGACAACCCUGCGCAUUUUUCACAUUUCUCUGUUCGCUUGGCUGUCGUUUAUCAUUUUACUCUCUCACUUUUUUUGGAAUCAGCCUGCUGUGUGGACGCGAACAGCAAGACAUCUCCUCAAAACAUCCGGCGUUUGGGAAAUGCGCCAGCGCCGCGGUAAAGUUCGACUUCCGGCUGGAAGCCUGCUCCCUCCCAAGGGGCGUAGGUUCCGCUAGGACGGUCCAGCUUUGAAGAGAACCGCAAACUCAUUUCGUCCUCCCAACCAAACAACCCCGAAAAUGCCGCAACACGGUGGAGUCUCGUUCUUCUUCGGGCACGAUUCGGGAGGGAGCCGAGUGUUUUGCAACCAACCUAGAAUGUAGUAAAUUUGUGUGUUUUUGUGUCCAAUAAAAUUGUGUUUUCAUCGUAAAG